This 254-nucleotide ribosomal RNA is filed under the name uncultured bacterium. RNAcentral's name for it is "partial 16S ribosomal RNA". It matches the Rfam family "Bacterial small subunit ribosomal RNA", at positions 524 to 776 of the family's 1533-position model. The record is from RNAcentral.
UACGUAGGCAGCAAGCGUUUGUUCGGAGUUACUGGGCGUAAAGGGUGCGUAGGUGGCUCUAUAAGUAUGGUGUGAAAUCUCCCGGCUUAACUGGGAGGGUGCGCCGUAGACUGUGGGGCUAGAGUGUGGGAGAGGAAAGUGGAAUUCCUGGUGUAGCGGUGAAAUGCGUAGAUAUCAGGAGGAACACCGGUGGUGUAAACGGCUUUCUGGAACGGUACUGACGCUGAGACGCGAAAGCGUGGGGAGCGAACAGG